CUCUUUGACAAGAUCAGAAGCAAUGGUGACCUGCUCCAGUGAUCUGCUCCAAUGACUUGCUCCGCUGUAAACAUGCUCAGGUGACUUGCUCCAGUGAUCUGAUCAUCGAUUUGCUCAGUACUUGAUCGAAAAUUAAGGUGUUUGCUUUGAGCAAGAAAAGCAGUAUUGGUUGUGCCCUUUCAAAAUCGAUUUCAGCGAAGUCAAUCUCAUUGGUGAACGGAAAUCGACGUUACCAAAUCUGGUGACGUCAAGCCCCCAGGUGUUUAUGUGCUGAGACGAACUUCAAAGAAACUUUUUUGGCAACAGUUUGCAAGAUUGCAGAUGGAUAAAACUUGGGUCCAUCGUAACAGAGCUUCAAAAGAAUAUGAGAAUGGAGCUAGGGAGUUUGUGAAGAUUGCAAUAAUUAAUGCUGGUUUUCCGAAAAAGAUUCUUUGUCCUUGCAACAAAUGCUAGAAUUUAAGACAUCAACUUUCAGAUGAAGUUGUUGAACACUUGGUAGUGUAUGGCAUGGAAAAAUCUUAUAAAACAUGGUUCCAUCAUGGAGAAGAUCUACAUCAAAAUAGCACGACAAAUGAUGUAUUUCAAAUGAUGUAUUUCAAACUGAUGAAGUAUAUUCGACUAAUGAUGUUGAAGCAUAUUCGACUAAUGUUGAUGAUUUAGAUUAUGAUAAUAGCGAUGAAGAUUUUAAUAUGCUAUUGUUGGAUGCAGAAUCACCAUUGUAUGAAGGUUGCUUAAAGUACACUAAACUUUCAUCUAUUGUUGGCCUAUAUAAUCUGAAAACAAAGCAUGGAUUCUCAGAUGUUGGUUUCACUGAGAUGUUGGAGAUGAUCAAAGCUAUGUUGCCAGAAGAUAAUCUACUUCUAACAUCUAUGCAUGCAGUUAACAAGUUUCUGAAGAAGUUUAAUCUUAACUAUAAGCAUGUCCAUUCUUGUGUUAAUGAUUGUUGUUUGUUUACAAAAGAAAAUAUUGAUGCCCAGGAAUGUCCCAAGUGUAAUUCUUCAAGAUGGAAACAAAAUGUGCACACAAAUGAGAUUUUACUAGGCCAACCUACAAAGUUGUUGAGAUAUUUUCCCAUUACACCAAGGCUUCAAAGGAUGUUUAGAUCUAAGGAGACAACUACAAGUCUAAAGUGGCAUUUUACUAAUAAAAGCACAGAUGGGAAGAUGCGCUAUCCAGUAGAUUCAGAGGCUUGGGAUGCAAUUAAUGAGAGAUGGACAGAUUUUUCACUUGAACCUAACAACCUUCGAUUAGGACUUGCUGCUGAUGGCAUUAACUCUUAUAAAAGUAUGAGUUCUGCAUACAACUGCUAGCCAGUAAUGCUUGUUGUAUACAAUUUACCACUUCAUUGUGCAUGA
RNA transcript from Humulus lupulus (European hop), 1355 nucleotides. RefSeq lists it as uncharacterized. The record is from RefSeq and is a predicted model, not a curated record. NCBI's taxonomy places the organism in Eukaryota, Viridiplantae, Streptophyta, Magnoliopsida, Rosales, Cannabaceae. The transcript is spliced from 5 exons.